RNAcentral lists this ribosomal RNA (468 nucleotides) under uncultured bacterium. Its description in RNAcentral is "partial 16S ribosomal RNA". It matches the Rfam family "Bacterial small subunit ribosomal RNA", at positions 28 to 507 of the family's 1533-position model. The record is from RNAcentral.
GACGAACGCUGGCGGCGUGCUUAACACAUGCAAGUCGAACGGAAAGGCCCUGCUUUUGUGGGGUGCUCGAGUGGCGAACGGGUGAGUAACACGUGAGUAACCUGCCCUUGACUUUGGGAUAACUUCAGGAAACUGGGGCUAAUACCGGAUAGGAGCUCCUGCUGCAUGGUGGGGAUUGGAAAGUUUCGGCGGUUGGGGAUGGACUCGCGGCUUAUCAGCUUGUUGGUGGGGUAGUGGCUUACCAAGGCUUUGACGGGUAGCCGGCCUGGGAGGGUGACCGGCCACAUUGGGACUGAGAUACGGCCCAGACUCCGACGGGAGGCAGCAGUGGGGAAUAUUGCACAAUGGGCGGAAGCCUGAUGCAGCAACGCCGCGUGCGGGAUGACGGCCUUCGGGUUGUAAACCGCUUUCGCCUGUGACGAAGCGUGAGUGACGGUAAUGGGUAAAGAAGCACCGGCUAACUACGUG